GGAAUAUUGGUCAAUGGCCGGAAGGCUGAACCAGCCAAGUCGCGUGAGGGAAUAAGGCCCUACGGGUCGUAAACCUCUUUUGCCAGGGAGCAAUGCCGUCCACGUGUGGACGGAAGGAGAGUACCUGGAGAAAAAGCAUCGGCUAACUCCGUGCCAGCAGCCGCGGUAAUACGGAGGAUGCGAGCGUUAUCCGGAUUUAUUGGGUUUAAAGGGUGCGUAGGCGGCCUGCCAAGUCAGCGGUAAAAUUGCGGGGCUCAACCCCGUACAGCCGUUGAAACUGCCGGGCUCGAGUGGGCGAGAAGUAUGCGGAAUGCGUGGUGUAGCGGUGAAAUGCAUAGAUAUCACGCAGAACCCCGAUUGCGAAGGCAGCAUACCGGCGCCCUACUGACGCUGAGGCACGAAAGUGCGGGGAUCAAACA
This 419-nucleotide ribosomal RNA is filed under the name uncultured bacterium. Its description in RNAcentral is "bacterial SSU rRNA". It matches the Rfam family "Bacterial small subunit ribosomal RNA", at positions 358 to 774 of the family's 1533-position model. The record is from RNAcentral.